This 505-nucleotide ribosomal RNA is filed under the name uncultured bacterium. RNAcentral describes it as "partial 16S ribosomal RNA". It matches the Rfam family "Bacterial small subunit ribosomal RNA", at positions 28 to 507 of the family's 1533-position model. The record is from RNAcentral.
GACGAACGCUGGCGGCGUGCCUAAUACAUGCAAGUAGAACGCACAGUUUAUACCGUAGCUUGCUCCACCAUAGACUGUGAGUUGCGAACGGGUGAGUCACGCGUAGGUAACCUGCCUGGUAGCGGGGGAUAACUAUUGGAAACGAUAGCUAAUACCGCAUAAUAUUUAUUAUUGCAUGAUAAUUAAUUGAAAGGUGCAAUUGCACCACUACCACAUGGACCUGCGUUGUAUUAGCUAGUAGGGGAGGUAACGGCUCACCUACGCGACGAUACAUAGCCGAACUGGGAGGGGGAUCGGCCAGACUGGGACGGAGACACGGCACAGAGUACUACGGGAGGCAGCAGUAGGGAAUCUUCGGCAAUGGGCGAAAGUCUGACCGAGCAACGCCGCAUGAGUGAAGAAGGAUUUCGGAUCGUAGAGAUCUGUUGUAAGAGAAGAACGGGUGUGAGAGUGGAAAGUUCACACUGUGACGGUAUCUUAACAGAAAGGGACGGCUAACUACGUG